AAGAAGUUAGUUUAAAUACAAAACAUUAACUUGUCAAGAUAAAAUUAAUUAAUAUUACUUCUUU
Molecule: transfer RNA, 64 nt
Filed under: Scaphoideus maai
Lineage: Eukaryota; Metazoa; Arthropoda; Insecta; Hemiptera; Cicadellidae
Description: tRNA-Asp
Source: RNAcentral